AACGCGAAGAACCUUACCCAGACUUGACAUCGAUCGCAAGCCCUAGAGAUAGGGCCCUCUUCCCAAAAGGAAGACGUGAAGACACUUGUUGCAUGGCUGUCGUCAGCUCGUGCCGUGAGGUGUACGGUUAAGUCCGCCAACGAGCGCAACCCUCGUCCUGUGUUACCAGCGAGAAAGUCGGGAACUCACAGGAGACCGCCGGUGUAAAUCGGAGGAAGGUGGGGAUGACGUCAAGUCAGCAUGGCAGUUACGUCUGGGGCUUCACACAUGCUACAAUGGAAGAAACAAAGGGCAGCGAUACCGCGAGGUGGAGCCAAUCCCAAAAAUACUUCCCCAGUUCAGAUUGCAGUCUGCAACUCGACUGCAUGAAGGUGGAAUCGCUAGUAAACGCAGGUCAGCUAUACUGCGUUGAAUACGUUCCCGGGCCUUGUACACACCGAUACUC
Molecule: ribosomal RNA, 445 nt
Filed under: uncultured bacterium
Lineage: Bacteria
Description: bacterial SSU rRNA
Rfam family: Bacterial small subunit ribosomal RNA
Source: RNAcentral